GUAGUCAUAUGCUUGUCUCAAAGAUUAAGCCAUGCAUGUCUAAGUAUAAGCAAUUAUACCGUGAAACUGCGAAUGGCUCAUUAAAUCAGUUAUCGUUUAUUUGAUAGUACCUUACUACUUGGAUAACCGUGGUAAUUCUAGAGCUAAUACAUGCUGAAAACCCCAACUUCGGAAGGGGUGUAUUUAUUAGAUAAAAAACCAAUGCCCUUCGGGGCUCCUUGGUGAUUCAUAAUAACUUCUCAGAUCGCAUGGCCUUGCGCCGGCGACGGUUCAUUCAAAUUUCUGCCCUAUCAACUUUCGAUGGUAAGGUAUUGGCUUACCAUGGUUUCAACGGGUAACGGGGAAUUAGGGUUCGAUUCCGGAGAGGGAGCCUGAGAAACGGCUACCACAUCCAAGGAAGGCAGCAGGCGCGCAAAUUACCCAAUCCCGACACGGGGAGGUAGUGACAAUAAAUACUGAUACAGGGCUCUUUUGGGUCUUGUAAUUGGAAUGAGUACAAUUUAAACCUCUUAACGAGGAACAAUUGGAGGGCAAGUCUGGUGCCAGCAGCC
This 551-nucleotide ribosomal RNA is filed under the name uncultured eukaryote. RNAcentral's name for it is "SSU rRNA". It matches the Rfam family "Eukaryotic small subunit ribosomal RNA", at positions 20 to 575 of the family's 1831-position model. The record is from RNAcentral.